This 612-nucleotide ribosomal RNA is filed under the name fungal endophyte. RNAcentral describes it as "eukaryotic LSU rRNA". The stretch from base 176 to 329 matches the Rfam family "5.8S ribosomal RNA". Lineage: Eukaryota; Fungi. The record is from RNAcentral.
UUACUGAGUUUACGCUCUAUAACCCUUUGUGAACAUACCUAUAACUGUUGCUUCGGCGGGUAGGGUCUCCGCGACCCUCCCGGCCUCCCGCCUCCGGGCGGGUCGGCGCCCGCCGGAGGAUAACCAAACUCUGAUUUAACGACGUUUCUUCUGAGUGGUACAAGCAAAUAAUCAAAACUUUUAACAACGGAUCUCUUGGUUCUGGCAUCGAUGAAGAACGCAGCGAAAUGCGAUAAGUAAUGUGAAUUGCAGAAUUCAGUGAAUCAUCGAAUCUUUGAACGCACAUUGCGCCCGCCAGCAUUCUGGCGGGCAUGCCUGUUCGAGCGUCAUUUCAACCCUCAAGCUCUGCUUGGUGUUGGGGCCCUACAGCUGAUGUAGGCCCUCAAAGGUAGUGGCGGACCCUCCCGGAGCCUCCUUUGCGUAGUAACUUUACGUCUCGCACUGGGAUCCGGAGGGACUCUUGCCGUAAAACCCCCCAAUUUUCCAAAGGUUGACCUCGGAUCAGGUAGGAAUACCCGCUGAACUUAAGCAUAUCAAUAAGCGGAGGAAAAGAAACCAACAGGGAUUGCCUCAGUAACGGCGAGUGAAGCGGCAACAGCUCAAAUUUGAAAU